CCUACGGGGCGCAGCAGUGGGGAAUCUUCCGCAAUGGGCGAAAGCCUGACGGAGCAAUGCCGCGUGGAGGUAGAAGGCCCACGGGUCGUGAACUUCUUUUCCCGGAGAAGAAGCAAUGACGGUAUCUGGGGAACAAGCAUCGGCUAACUCUGUGCCAGCAGCCGCGGUAAUACAGAGGAUGCAAGCGUUAUCCGGAAUGAUUGAGCGUAAAGCGUCUGCAGGUGGCUUUUUAAGUCCGCCGUCAAAUCCCAGGGCUCAACCCUGGACAGGCGGUGGAAACUACCCAGCUGGAGUACGGUAGGGGCAGAGGGAAUUUCCGGUGGAGCGGUGAAAUGCGUAGAGAUCGGAAAGAGCACCAACGGCGAAAGCACUCUGCUGGGCCGACACUGACACUGAGAGACGAAAGCUAGGGGAGCGAAUGGGAUUAGAUACCCUUGUAGUC
This 442-nucleotide ribosomal RNA is filed under the name uncultured bacterium. RNAcentral describes it as "bacterial SSU rRNA". It matches the Rfam family "Bacterial small subunit ribosomal RNA", at positions 338 to 795 of the family's 1533-position model. The record is from RNAcentral.